UUUUUCAGUCAUUGAACAAUUUUGCCUGCCACCUGAUACCAAAGUUACAUACAAAGAUGCAACAGAUACUGAAGUUGACGAAGAAAUAUUCAGUGACCUCCUUAGACAAGGCAAUGUGGUACAGACAGUUUUCUGCUAUGAUGAGUUCUCAGAAUGGUCAUCUGCUUCUGACUCAAGCUUCAACUCAAAUGCAUCAACAUCAACAAUACUAAUGGAUGAGAUGCCACGCAAGAAGCAAAAAACUGAGAAUCCUGAUAACUCAGUGUCUGCUAAAAAUCUGGUUGAAGGUGUCCUACAAAGCAAGUCUGGUGGUGAAGAAAUUCUGCAGCAGUAUGAAACUACAGAAACCCUAACUGAUGCCACAAGAAGACAAAUGGUGAACAUACUGGUGGCUCACAUGAUUGAUGAACAAGGGCACCUCCCCACAAAAGCAAUCAGAGAGAAGUAUGCCUUUGGAAUAGUGACAAAGGCAUCCCUCAAGGAUCCAUACACCAAAAAAGGCAAUGAGCACUUUUAUGAUGCAGCAAGCAGCACUGGAUACAUUUCAUGGCGUCUUAAAACGGUCCUAAGGAAGAUUCAAAGAGGAUCUCUUGUGCCAUCAAGUAGCACCAAUUACAUUUCAUCUGGAGGCCCAAAUAUACAGAGAACUGUGAUUGUUGAAAAACAGCUUGAUGGGAAUGCCUGCCAGGAGGCCAUAUCUCUGCUUAACCACACCACAGACAGGUCCGUGAUCUUUCAGAAGAUGAGAGAGACUUUUGAGCACCGUCACAAGCUUAUUAAAGAUGCCAGUGGAAGAAAUGAUAUAUCCUGACCACAUUCCCGGGGUUCCUGGACACAAAAGGAUUGAUUGAUCAAGACUUCCGUCUCCUAUUCAGUGAAGAAACCUCAUCCAGACUGCUGCAGAAGUGGGAUGUGUUCUUCAAACCAAAUGUCAUCAAGGAGGCUAAGCGUUUCACUUCUCCACCUGAGUUGAGAAGUUUGGUGCAGUCAGCGGAAAGUCUUCAAAGCGAUGACCUCACUAACACAUCUAACUAUGACCAAGAAAUGGCCUCGCUGUUACUUCUCUUACAUCUUCUUCCACCGCAACCAGGAGGACAGAAGUCUCCAAAAAUCAGUGCAAGUGAUGCAGAUGAGAGACUUGUUGUCAUUCAUAAGUCAUGCUGCAGUUUAGAGGAGCAUCUUCGGGGACAAUGGGGUCUGCAGCCAUACCUCCUUGCUGUUGGGCGUCAGAAAAGCAAGAUUGACAGCUUCUACAUCGUCAUGGAUAAGUGCCUCAUCCCAUGCCAGACAAACAGUUCUCUUGGAACAUUUGAUGAGCUAUUCAAAGCACAUUUUGUGUUUAAUUUCUCUUAUGAUGCUGCAUUGAUGAAUUUCUACACAUUUCUGCAGACAACAGUGUAUAACAUUGACGUGGGCAAAAUAAAGGAAUCGCUCAGAGUUAGGGACGUGAGAGCAAGGCUGCUAAAGAAUCCGUUGAGCUCUCUUGUGAGUUAAGUCAGGCCAAAAAAUGUUGACCUGUUUUUAUGUGUCAAAAACUGUAUCCAAGCGGAAACAUUUGAUCAUCAUCAUGCUUUCAAAAUUGUUCAAAGUGAAGAAAGGCAUUUAGUAAAAAUCCCUGAACUUAAAUUUCUUUUGAUAUUCAAAACUCUUAUGGCAUUUCUAAUGAAUGUUUGAUCAUUGUACCACAAUUUAAAAUGUUGGGAACACAGCUGCAAAAAUAAAGUGUUCAA
This is a long non-coding RNA of Poeciliopsis prolifica (blackstripe livebearer), 1730 nucleotides long. RefSeq lists it as uncharacterized. The transcript has 8 exons. The record is from RefSeq and is a predicted model, not a curated record. Lineage: Eukaryota; Metazoa; Chordata; Actinopteri; Cyprinodontiformes; Poeciliidae.